Molecule: ribosomal RNA, 305 nt
Filed under: uncultured bacterium
Lineage: Bacteria
Description: bacterial SSU rRNA
Rfam family: Bacterial small subunit ribosomal RNA
Source: RNAcentral
CCUACGGGGCGCAGCAGUGAGGAAUAUUGGUCAAUGGACGAGAGUCUGAACCAGCCAAGUAGCGUGAAGGAUGACUGCCCUAUGGGUUGUAAACUUCUUUUAUAUGGGAAUAAAACGUUCCACGUGUGGGAUUUUGUAUGUACCAUAUGAAUAAGGACCGGCUAAUUCCGUGCCAGCAGCCGCGGUAAUACGGAAGGUCCGGGCGUUAUCCGGAUUUAUUGGGUUUAAAGGGAGCGUAGGCCGGCUUUUAAGUCAGCUGUGAAAGUCCGCGGCUCAACCGUGGAAUUGCAGUUGAAACUGGAGGC